RNAcentral lists this ribosomal RNA (491 nucleotides) under uncultured bacterium. Its description in RNAcentral is "bacterial SSU rRNA". It matches the Rfam family "Bacterial small subunit ribosomal RNA", at positions 21 to 507 of the family's 1533-position model. The record is from RNAcentral.
GGCUCAGAUUGAACGCUGGCGGCAUGCCUUACACAUGCAAGUCGAACGGCAGCGGACCUUCGGGUGCCGGCGAGUGGCGAACGGGUGAGUAAUAUAUCGGAACGUACCUUUCAGUGGGGGAUAACGUAGCGAAAGUUACGCUAAUACCGCAUAUUCUGUGAGCAGGAAAGCAGGGGGAUCGCAAGACCUUGCGCUGAUUGAGCGGCCGAUAUCAGAUUAGCUAGUUGGUGAGGUAAAGGCUCACCAAGGCGACGAUCUGUAGCGGGGUCUGAGAGGAUGAUCCGCCACACUGGAACUGAGACACGGUCCAGACUCCUACGGGAGGCAGCAGUGGGGAAUUUUGGACAAUGGGCGCAAGCCUGAUCCAGCCAUGCCGCGUGAGUGAAGAAGGCCUUCGGGUUGUAAAGCUCUUUCGGCCGGGAAGAAAUCGCACGGGUUAAUACCCUGUGUGGAUGACGGUACCGGAAUAAGAAGCACCGGCUAACUACGUG